Molecule: non-coding RNA, 225 nt
Organism: Pelobates cultripes (western spadefoot toad)
Lineage: Eukaryota; Metazoa; Chordata; Amphibia; Anura; Pelobatidae
Source: the annotation of a GenBank genome assembly
CUCGACAAGACAAUUAUUAAAGAUCCAUCCAUCACAAUCACGUUACCUUUAGCAGCACUGAGCUGCCCCCAAGUGGUGGUGCUAACCUGUCUAAGUUAUGUUCAGUCUUAUGCUCUUAUCCUACACUUCAAUUGAUAAUCGGUUUGUUUUGCAGGAAAAUGUGCCAUCCCUUACUGCAGGCAUCUCAAACUCCACUAGCUGUAUCUGAACUACAACCCAUUGUUU